Molecule: non-coding RNA, 232 nt
Organism: Pelobates cultripes (western spadefoot toad)
Lineage: Eukaryota; Metazoa; Chordata; Amphibia; Anura; Pelobatidae
Source: the annotation of a GenBank genome assembly
CUCGCCUCUUGGGCUGAUUUUGUCGGUGGGAGCGCAGCAGCCUGUAGUAUUCGACAUUCUGUAGUAACUGCGUUCCCAGUGUGGUAUUGUCCAUGUUCAUCAGCAAAUCUGGAGCCAUCCACAAACAAUGUACAGUUUGGAUUGGGUAGGGCAGUGUCAUGCACGGUUGGUAGGUGGGUGGUCUCCAUCUUCAUUUGUUCAAAACAGUCAUGAGGGGCUUCUGGAUCUUGUC